UCCCUGAUAGUCUAGUGUUAAGACUCAGUGCUUUUAUCACUGUGGCCUGGGUUCAAACCCUGGUCUAGAAA
Molecule: transfer RNA, 71 nt
Filed under: Sus scrofa (pig)
Lineage: Eukaryota; Metazoa; Chordata; Mammalia; Artiodactyla; Suidae
Rfam family: tRNA
About the family: Transfer RNA (tRNA) molecules are approximately 80 nucleotides in length.
Source: Rfam by way of RNAcentral